GACGUAGGGCGCGAGCGUUGUCCGGAUUUAUUGGGCGUAAAGAGCUCGUAGGCGGCUUGUCGCGUCAACUGUGAAAACCCGUGGCUCAACCAUGUGGUCUGCAGUCGAUACGGGCAGGCUAGAAUUCGGUAGGGGAGACUGGAAUUCCUGGUGUAGCGGUGAAAUGCGUAGAUAUCUGGAGGAACACCGGUGGCGAAGGCGACAUCCUGGACCGGUAUUGACGCUGAGGCGCGAAAGCCAGGGGAGCAAACGGG
Molecule: ribosomal RNA, 254 nt
Filed under: uncultured bacterium
Lineage: Bacteria
Description: partial 16S ribosomal RNA
Rfam family: Bacterial small subunit ribosomal RNA
Source: RNAcentral